CCUACGGGAGGCAGCAGUGGGGAAUCUUAGACAAUGGGCGCAAGCCUGAUCUAGCCAUGCCGCGUGAGUGAUGAAGGCCCUAGGGUCGUAAAGCUCUUUCGCCAGGGAUGAUAAUGACAGUACCUGGUAAAGAAACCCCGGCUAACUCCGUGCCAGCAGCCGCGGUAAUACGGAGGGGGUUAGCGUUGUUCGGAAUUACUGGGCGUAAAGCGCACGUAGGCGGAUUAGAAAGUUGGGGGUGAAAUCCCAGGGCUCAACCCUGGAACUGCCUCCAAAACUCCUAGUCUAGAGUUCGAGAGAGGUGAGUGGAAUUCCGAGUGUAGAGGUGAAAUUCGUAGAUAUUCGGAGGAACACCAGUGGCGAAGGCGGCUCACUGGCUCGAUACUGACGCUGAGGUGCGAAAGUGUGGGGAGCAAACAGGAUUAGAUACCCUGGUAGUCCACACCGUAAACGAUGAAUGCCAGUCGUCGGGUAGUAUUCUAUUCGGUGACACACCUAACGGAUUAAGCAUUCCGCCUGGGGAGUACGGUCGCAAGAUUAAAACUCAAAGGAAUUGACGG
RNAcentral lists this ribosomal RNA (560 nucleotides) under uncultured bacterium. RNAcentral's name for it is "bacterial SSU rRNA". It matches the Rfam family "Bacterial small subunit ribosomal RNA", at positions 338 to 916 of the family's 1533-position model. The record is from RNAcentral.